RNAcentral lists this long non-coding RNA (358 nucleotides) under Populus tremula. RNAcentral describes it as "long non-coding RNA (PTRE_LNC000723)". Lineage: Eukaryota; Viridiplantae; Streptophyta; Magnoliopsida; Malpighiales; Salicaceae. The record is from RNAcentral.
AUCAAUCCAAAAAAAAAAAGGGAUAAAAAGAUUUUAACUAAUAAGAAGGUAGCUUUCUGGUUCUUUAACGUUAGGUUACUUUCAAUUCUUAAAAAAUACAAAAAUUGAAUUGAAUUAAAUAAAAAAAAUCAAAUCAAAUAGGGUUUGAACAGAAGCGUUGAACUUCUGGAUAAUAUAUUUUUGUUUGUGGAACCAGUCUAGAAUCUAGAUAAAGAUAACAACCAGUUGUUCAUAAAAUAUUAUAAAUACGCGUCCGAACGAGCCAGAUGGCAAUCCAUGCGAGGAUGCCUUCUUCAAGCUGCUGCUUCCUCCUGGACGCCCUAUACUCUUUGUUCAUUGAAUUUUGUCACCAGCCGAC